This 509-nucleotide ribosomal RNA is filed under the name uncultured bacterium. Its description in RNAcentral is "bacterial SSU rRNA". It matches the Rfam family "Bacterial small subunit ribosomal RNA", at positions 372 to 874 of the family's 1533-position model. The record is from RNAcentral.
UGGGCGCAAGCCUGAUCCAGCAAUGCCGCGUGCAGGAUGAAGGCCUUCGGGUUGUAAACUGCUUUUGUACGGAACGAAAAGCCCUGGGUUAAUACCCUGGGGUCAUGACGGUACCGUAAGAAUAAGCACCGGCUAACUACGUGCCAGCAGCCGCGGUAAUACGUAGGGUGCGAGCGUUAAUCGGAAUUACUGGGCGUAAAGCGUGCGCAGGCGGUUUUGUAAGACAGAGGUGAAAUCCCCGGGCUCAACCUGGGAACUGCCUUUGUGACUGCAAGGCUAGAGUACGGCAGAGGGGGAUGGAAUUCCGCGUGUAGCAGUGAAAUGCGUAGAUAUGCGGAGGAACACCGAUGGCGAAGGCAAUCCCCUGGGCCUGUACUGACGCUCAUGCACGAAAGCGUGGGGAGCAAACAGGAUUAGAUACCCUGGUAGUCCACGCCCUAAACGAUGUCAACUGGUUGUUGGGUCUUAACUGACUCAGUAACGAAGCUAACGCGUGAAGUUGACCGCCU